UCCUUUCUCCCAUCCCAUCCUUUCUCCCAUCCCUUCCUUCUCCCAUCCCUUCCUUCUCCCAUCCCUUCUCCCAUCCCUUUGCAGCUGGAGGCCAACCCGCCCUGCAUCCCUCCAUCCCCGACCCUCUGCCCCAGUGCUCCCAGCAGCCCCGCGCGCAGACCCUCACCUCCGGGACGGCACCCACAGGAAGAACAUCAACAGGAGUUUGGGGUCCCUGGGACGACUCUUUGCACCCUGACCCCCCCUGGGGUGCUGCAGGUAUUUGGGGGCAGCCCCCCACCCCCCCCUUUCCUUCCUGGGCUCAUAGCCCAGCGGGUGCGGAUGCCGCAAGGAGCCCGCCGUGCCGUGCCGUGCCGUGCCGUGCCGUGCCGCGCCAAUAAAGCUCUUUUCGCUGCGGGUCUCCCGCAUCCUCUCCUUUGUUUGCCGAGGUUUCUCUUCCAGCGGCGGAGGCAGGACCCGCACUCAGCACCAGGUGGGGGGGAUGAAUAUUAAAAUUUCCCCCCCAACCCAAAAUAAAUAAAAAAAAAAACCUAAAAAACCUCA
RNAcentral lists this long non-coding RNA (543 nucleotides) under Calidris pugnax (ruff). RNAcentral's name for it is "lncRNA (ENSCPUG00000006493.1)". Lineage: Eukaryota; Metazoa; Chordata; Aves; Charadriiformes; Scolopacidae. The record is from RNAcentral.